AAGUCGUAACAAGGUUUCCGUAGGUGAACCUGCGGAAGGAUCAUUAACAAUUGAUAUUCCGGUCAUUGUGGGCGACGAGCAUAGAUAAAGCUUCUGCUUCUUUGCUUGGCUCACUUCGGCUUGGAACCUGAUCUCUGAAGGCAAAUAGCAAUAUUUCUUUCAGAAGGUCAUCAUAACAAGUAACCUGGGGUACUUUAGAGUGGAGAUAUACUUCGGUGCAUCUUUACUUUAGAGCCCUUCUAAUAAUCCCUUUAUUUUACCAUUUUACCCCUUCAAACUAUUAAGACUGAUAUGACAUGAUUUAAUGUCACAAUUAAAUCUGAAAACAACUCUUAACAAUGGAUAUCUAGGUUCUG
This 356-nucleotide unclassified non-coding RNA is filed under the name fungal sp. RNAcentral describes it as "partial internal transcribed spacer region". The stretch from base 1 to 46 matches the Rfam family "Eukaryotic small subunit ribosomal RNA", at positions 1786 to 1831 of the family's 1831-position model. The record is from RNAcentral. Lineage: Eukaryota; Fungi. RNAcentral also lists the same sequence under 1 other name.